Molecule: long non-coding RNA, 1607 nt
Filed under: Priapulus caudatus
Lineage: Eukaryota; Metazoa; Priapulida; Priapulimorpha; Priapulimorphida; Priapulidae
Description: uncharacterized LOC106808592
Source: RNAcentral
CUCCACUGACUCCUUUCUACGCGUGCUACAGACCGUACAGCUACCCGCCGCCAAUGGAGGUGAGGUACGACCGCAAGGCAACAGAGAAGGUCGAAGCCAUCCCCCAAAAGGAAGCACCACCAGACAUCGACUUGAGUUUGAAUUACAACAAAGAGGGGUCGGUUGAAUCGACUGAUAAACAUUCGGUGGAGACAAAUAAGGCCGAAUCGGUCGUAUAAGCAGUGACACCUGGUGGACCGUAUGCAUCAUGGGUUUUCGGAAGAGAUCGUCGUAGGAGAUCGCACGUAUUGAAGGAGAUUGCAUUCACUUCCACCAAGGCGAACCCUGUUCUUCUGACGUAAUCGUCGGUGGCCGCAAAGAAACGUUUCGUCACGGUAUCAAAAGAAACGUUCCUAUGUAACUGGCGACAAGCGUCGCCAUGCACAUAGCAUUGAAAAUGGGCGAGCAAUAUUUGAAGCGCGGUAUGGCGCAAUUUAGCAGUAGGUGUGACGAAAUAGAUGCGGCAGGUACUCUAAAAUAGUAGCAUCGUGUAGAAUAUUUGAAUUGAAAAUGGGCGGAUAAUGUUUUAGUAAUGCGCAGCGGUGUCCGAUGGAAGAUCAUGACCUAGUCAGCGCCAUCAAAGCAUAGGCCUACAAUCGGCGUAAGGUGUUGUCUGACGUGUGUGUUUUGUCUACCUCAUCUAACCCCUGACCAGAUUCGUUAGACUACAAACGGCCGAGUAUAACCAAUAUUUAGCGUUUCGGUACACGUCCCGCGUUUAUCUAUAUGCUUGGCCCUACCCAUGCAGCCCUUCAGUCCGCCACAGGGCGGCAAGUUCAUGAUGACAAAGGUAGAGCUACAAUAUGCUAUGCCGCGUGAAUGUAGUAGCUCCAAGAAACGGUAAUGCUAGGGUUAGAAUAGACAAUCCCUCUGUAUAGUAUCCGUCUGUAUAGACAAUCCGUCGCACAGCCUGGUCGGGCUACACCCCUAGUAGUUUCAGCAUAAGCAGCAAUAGACAAGUGUACAGACUAUUUAGAAUGUGCGUGCAUUUGAAUUGAUUAGCACCUUGCACCUUCGUUACCUAUCCUGACACUGCCUAUAAUGUUGAGUAAACGACUCCAAGGCAGUAAUAGUGUCGUGGGAUUCCUUAUUAUGUCCGCGAAGUAAUCUACAGCAACUUGUGGAAUUCGUACAUGUAGCCAAGCGGUCUUGGAUUAUUAACAUAAUAUAGUUAGCGCUAAAUUCCGACGCUGUAAUGUGUGAUUUACGUGCCAAAAUGACCAUGCGUUUUCUAAUGCCAAUUCAAAGCUCUGUAUGUAAAGGUCAUCAAAGGACAUGUGGAAAUGCAUGGCAUACCUAGCGCGCCAACCUAGUAGGCCUAAAUUUACAUAGCUCUACAUUCUUAUAUUAUAUUCAUAUAUGUAUUAGGCGAUUUCAAACAUAGACCUUAGCUGGUUGUAUUCUUUCAUACGUUUUAGGUUGUCUUGAUAAUUUAAAAUGACACAUUUAUAAUACAUGAAUUUUAACGGGUAUUUAUAUUUUAAUAACUUCGGGUGAUGAAUGUAAUUGGGUAUAACUUGCAUGAUUGAGGUACAUUUUCAUGAAUAAAACCAUUUUAUAAAAAUUAA